AACUACCGAGCUAGAGUGUGUCAGAGGGAGGUGGAUCCGCGUGUAGCAGUGAAAUGCGUAGAUAUGCGGAGGAACACCGAUGGCGAAGGCAGCCUCCUGGGAUAACACUGACGCUCAUGCACGAAAGCGUGGGGAGCAAACAGGAUAGAUACCCUGGUAGUCCACGCCCUAAACGAUGUCAACUAGCUGUUGGGGCUCGGGCCUUGGUAGCGCAGCUAACGCGUGAAGUUGACCGCCUGGGGAGUACGGUCGCAAGAUUAAAACCAAAGGAAUUGACGGGGACCCGCACAAGCGGUGGAUGAUGUGGAUUAAUUCGAUGCAACGCGAAAAACCUACCUACCCUUGACAUGUCUGGAAUGCCGAAGAGAUUUGGUAGUGCUCGCAAGAGAACCGGAACACAGGUGCUGCAUGGCUGUCGUCAGCUCGUGUCGUGAGAUGUUGGGUUAAGUCCCGCAACGAGCGCAACCCUUGUCAUUAGUUGCUACGAAAGGGCACUCUAAUGAGACUGCCGGUGACAAACCGGAGGAAGGUGGGGAUGACGUCAGGUCCUUCAUGGCCCUUAUGGGUAGGGCUUCACACGUCAUACAAUGGUCGGGACAGAGGGUCGCCAACCCGCGAGGGGGAGCCAAUCCCAGAAACCCGAUCGUAGUCCGGAUCGCAGUCUGCAGCUCGACUGCGUGAAGUCGGAAUCGCUAGUAAUCGCGGAUCAGCAUGUCGCGGUGAAUACGUUCCCGGGUCUUGUACACACCGCCCGUCACACCAUGGGAGUGGGUUUUACCAGAAGUAGUUAGCCUAACCGCAAGGGGGGCGAUUACCACGGUAGGAUUCAUGACUGGGGUGAAGUC
RNAcentral lists this ribosomal RNA (845 nucleotides) under uncultured bacterium. Its description in RNAcentral is "bacterial SSU rRNA". It matches the Rfam family "Bacterial small subunit ribosomal RNA", at positions 631 to 1487 of the family's 1533-position model. The record is from RNAcentral.